Molecule: ribosomal RNA, 860 nt
Filed under: Mendogia diffusa
Lineage: Eukaryota; Fungi; Ascomycota; Dothideomycetes; Myriangiales; Myriangiaceae
Description: SSU rRNA
Rfam family: Eukaryotic small subunit ribosomal RNA
Source: RNAcentral
CUCAACGAAUCGCAUGGCCUGCGCGCCGAUGAUUCAUCAAAUUCUGCCUAUCAACUUCGAUGGUAGUAUAGGUGACUACCAUGGUAUCAACGGGUAAACGGGGAAAUUAGGGCUCGAUUCCGGAGAGGGAGCCUGAGAAACGGCUACCACAUCCAAGGAAGGCAGCAGGCGCGCAAAUUACCCAAUCCCGACGCGGGGAGGUAGUGACAAUAAAUACUGAUACAGGGCUCUUUUGGGUCUUGUAAUUGGAAUGAGUACAAUUUAAAUCCCUUAACGAGGAACAAUUGGAGGGCAAGUCUGGUGCCAGCAGCCGCGGUAAUUCCAGCUCCAAUAGCGUAUAUUAAAGUUGUUGCAGUUAAAAAGCUCGUAGUUGAACCUUGGGCCUGGCUGGCCGGUCCGCCUCACCGCGUGCACUGGUUCGGCCGGGCCUUUCCUUCUGGGGAGCCGCAUGCCCUUUACUGGGCGUGCCGGGGAACCAGGACUUUUACUUUGAAAAAAUUAGAGUGUUCAAAGCAGGCCUUUGCUCGGAUACAUUAGCAUGGAAUAAUGGAAUAGGACGUGCGGUUCUAUUUUGUUGGUUUCUAGGACCGCCGUAAUGAUUAAUAGGGAUAGUCGGGGCCAUCCGUAUUCGAUUGUCAGAGGUGAAAUUCUUGGAUUCAUCGAAGACGAACAACUGCGAAAGCAUUUGGCAAGGAUGUUUUCAUUAAUCAGUGAACGAAAGUUAGGGGAUCGAAGACGAUCAGAUACCGUCGUAGUCUUAACCAUAAACUAUGCCGACUAGGGAUCGGACGGUGUUAUCAUUUUGACCCGUUCGGCACCUUACGAGAAAUCAAAGUCUUUGGGUCUGGGGAGUUGUCCCC